This 737-nucleotide ribosomal RNA is filed under the name Glaesserella parasuis. RNAcentral describes it as "partial 23S ribosomal RNA". It matches the Rfam family "Bacterial large subunit ribosomal RNA", at positions 1 to 782 of the family's 2925-position model. Lineage: Bacteria; Pseudomonadati; Pseudomonadota; Gammaproteobacteria; Pasteurellales; Pasteurellaceae. The record is from RNAcentral.
AGUUAAGUGACUAAGCGUACACGGUGGAUGCCUAGGCAAUCAGAGGCGAAGAAGGACGUGCUAAUCUGCGAAAAGCUUGGAUGAGUUGAUAAGAAGCGUUUAAUCCAAGAUAUCCGAAUGGGGAAACCCAGUAGAUGAAGAAUCUACUAUCACUUGUUGAAUACAUAAGCAAGUGAAGCAAACCGGGAGAACUGAAACAUCUAAGUACCCCGAGGAAAAGAAAUCAACCGAGAUUUUGUAAGUAGCGGCGAGCGAAAGCGAAAGAGCCAGUGAGUGAUAGCAGCAAAGACAGAAGAAUUGGCUGGGAAGCCAAGCGACACAGGGUGAUAGCCCCGUAUUCGAAGUUUUUGUUGUGGUACUAAGCUUGCAACAAGUAGGGCGGGACACGAGAAAUCCUGUUUGAAGAUGGGGGGACCAUCCUCCAAGGCUAAAUACUCCUGAUUGACCGAUAGUGAACCAGUACUGUGAAGGAAAGGCGAAAAGAACCCCAGUGAGGGGAGUGAAAUAGAACCUGAAACCGUGUACGUACAAGCAGUGGGAGCCCUUUGGGGUGACUGCGUACCUUUUGUAUAAUGGGUCAGCGACUUAUAUUUUGUAGCGAGGUUAACUGAAUAAGGGAGCCGAAGGGAAACCGAGUCUUAACUGGGCGGAUAGUUGCAAGGUAUAGACCCGAAACCCGGUGAUCUAGCCAUGGGCAGGUUGAAGGUUGGGUAACACUAACUGGAGGACCGAACCGA